UACGAAGGGGGCUAGCGUUGUUCGGAAUUACUGGGCGUAAAGGGCGCGUAGGCGGCUGUGCAAGUCAGAUGUGAAAGCCCUGGGCUCAACCCAGGAUGUGCAUUUGAUACUGCGCGGCUAGAGUGUCGGAGAGGAUGGUGGAAUUCCCAGUGUAGAGGUGAAAUUCGUAGAUAUUGGGAAGAACACCGGUGGCGAAGGCGACCAUCUGGACGACAACUGACGCUGAGGCGCGAAAGCGUGGGGAGCAAACAGG
Molecule: ribosomal RNA, 253 nt
Filed under: uncultured bacterium
Lineage: Bacteria
Description: partial 16S ribosomal RNA
Rfam family: Bacterial small subunit ribosomal RNA
Source: RNAcentral